Molecule: ribosomal RNA, 118 nt
Filed under: Muribaculaceae bacterium Isolate-102 (HZI)
Lineage: Bacteria; Pseudomonadati; Bacteroidota; Bacteroidia; Bacteroidales; Muribaculaceae
Description: partial 16S ribosomal RNA
Rfam family: Bacterial small subunit ribosomal RNA
Source: RNAcentral
AAACAACGAAGAGUUUGAUCCUGGCUCAGGAUGAACGCUAGCGACAGGCCUAACACAUGCAAGUCGAGGGGCAUCGGGGCGAGGAGCAAUCCUUGCCGCCGGCGACCGGCGCACGGGU